UUGCUCGCUUCGGCAGCACAUAUACUAAAAUUGGAAUGAUAUAGAGAAGAUUAGCAUGGCACCUGCGCAAGGAUGACACGCAAAUUCGUGAAGUGUUCCAUAUUUUU
RNAcentral lists this small nuclear RNA (107 nucleotides) under Octodon degus (degu). The record is from RNAcentral. Lineage: Eukaryota; Metazoa; Chordata; Mammalia; Rodentia; Octodontidae.